AACGAACGCUGGCGGCAUGCCUAACACAUGCAAGUCGAACGAGACCUUCGGGUCUAGUGGCGCACGGGUGCGUAACGCGUGUGAACCUGCCCUUAGGUUCGGAAUAACUCCCCGAAAGGGGUGCUAAUACCGGUUAAUGUCUUCGGACCAAAGAUUUAUCGCCUUUGGAUGGGCCCGCGUUGGAUUAGCUAGUUGGUAGGGUAAAAGCCUACCAAGGCGACGAUCCAUAGCUGGUCUGAGAGGAUGAUCAGCCACACUGGGACUGAGACACGGCCCAGACUCCUACGAGAGGCAGCAGUGGGGAAUAAUGGACAAUGGGCGAAAGCCUGAUCCAGCAAGGCCGCGAGAGUGAUGAAGGCCUUAGGGUUGUAAAGCUCUUUUACCCGGGAUGAUAAUGACAGUACCGGGAGAAUAAGCUCCGGCAAACUCCGU
RNAcentral lists this ribosomal RNA (432 nucleotides) under uncultured bacterium. RNAcentral describes it as "partial 16S ribosomal RNA". It matches the Rfam family "Bacterial small subunit ribosomal RNA", at positions 29 to 506 of the family's 1533-position model. The record is from RNAcentral.